UGGGGAAUAUUGGACAAUGGGCGCAAGCCUGAUCCAGCAAUGCCGCGUGUGUGAAGAAGGCCUGCGGGUUGUAAAGCACUUUCAGUGGGGAGAAAGGGGCUGUUCUUAAUACGGACAGCAGAUGAUGUUACCCACAGAAGAAGCACCGGCUAACUCUGUGCCAGCAGCCGCGGUAAUACAGAGGGUGCGAGCGUUAAUCGGAAUUACUGGGCGUAAAGGGUGCGUAGGUGGUUGCAUAAGUUAGGUGUGAAAUUCCUGGGCUUAACCUGGGGACUGUGCCUAAUACUGUGCGACUAGAGUCUUGUAGAGGAAGGUGGAAUUUCCGGUGUAGCGGUGAAAUGCGUAGAUAUCGGAAGGAACAUCAGUGGCGAAGGCGACCUUCUGGACAAAGACUGACACUGAGGCACGAAAGCAUGGGGAGCAAACAGGAUUAGAUACCCCCGUAGUCC
RNAcentral lists this ribosomal RNA (449 nucleotides) under uncultured bacterium. RNAcentral describes it as "bacterial SSU rRNA". It matches the Rfam family "Bacterial small subunit ribosomal RNA", at positions 355 to 796 of the family's 1533-position model. The record is from RNAcentral.